This 229-nucleotide ribosomal RNA is filed under the name uncultured bacterium. Its description in RNAcentral is "partial 16S ribosomal RNA". It matches the Rfam family "Bacterial small subunit ribosomal RNA", at positions 568 to 796 of the family's 1533-position model. The record is from RNAcentral.
UGCGCAGGUGGGCUUGUAAGUCAGUGGUGAAAUACUGCCGCUUAACGGUAGAACUGCCAUUGAUACUGCAAGUCUUGAGUAUGGUUGAGGUAGGCGGAAUGUGUUGUGUAGCGGUGAAAUGCAUAGAUAUGACACAGAACUCCAAUUGCGAAGGCAGCUUACUAAGCCAUUACUGACGCUGAGGCACGAAAGCGUGGGUAGCAAACAGGAUUAGAUACCCUGGUAGUCC